UCCCCCCUCUAAUCGGUGAAACUGAUCUCUCCGUGAAGAAGCGGAGAUGUACAUAUAAGACGAGAAGACCCCAUGGAGCUUUAAACCCAACAACACCCGCCCCCCCUCCAAAUCCUGUUAUUUACCCGGUGAUUGUUUGUUUGGUUUUAGGUUGGGGUGACCGCGGAGUAUAAGAUAUCCUCCAUGAAAAAAAGCUAACUGCCCUUAUUAGAGAAAGACACUUCCAAAAAAUAAUAAAUUAAUUUUAAAUGAUCCGACAUUCGAUCAACGAACCAAGUUACCCUGGGGAUAACAGCGCAAUCCGUCCCGAGAGCCCCUAUCGACAGGCGGGUUUACGACCUCGAUGUUGGAUCAGGGUAUCCUAGUGGUGCAGCAGCUACUAAAGGUUCGUUUGUUCAACGAUUAAAACCCU
RNAcentral lists this ribosomal RNA (412 nucleotides) under Boophis madagascariensis (Madagascar bright-eyed frog). RNAcentral's name for it is "partial 16S ribosomal RNA". It matches the Rfam family "Bacterial large subunit ribosomal RNA", at positions 2021 to 2597 of the family's 2925-position model. Lineage: Eukaryota; Metazoa; Chordata; Amphibia; Anura; Mantellidae. The record is from RNAcentral.